GGGCGCAUAGCUCAGCGGUAGAGCAAUCGUCUUAUACACGAUCGGCCCUAGGUUCGAAUCCUAGUGCGCCCACCA
This 75-nucleotide transfer RNA is filed under the name Candidatus Doudnabacteria bacterium CG10_big_fil_rev_8_21_14_0_10_42_18. Its description in RNAcentral is "tRNA-Ile". It matches the Rfam family "tRNA". Rfam says of the family: Transfer RNA (tRNA) molecules are approximately 80 nucleotides in length. The record is from RNAcentral. RNAcentral also lists the same sequence under 2 other names. Lineage: Bacteria; Candidatus Doudnaibacteriota.